RNAcentral lists this non-coding RNA (29 nucleotides) under Homo sapiens (human). The record is from RNAcentral. Lineage: Eukaryota; Metazoa; Chordata; Mammalia; Primates; Hominidae.
GGCCUAGCUCCUGCGUCCGAGUGCUGUGU